This 253-nucleotide ribosomal RNA is filed under the name uncultured bacterium. RNAcentral's name for it is "partial 16S ribosomal RNA". It matches the Rfam family "Bacterial small subunit ribosomal RNA", at positions 524 to 776 of the family's 1533-position model. The record is from RNAcentral.
GACAGAGGGGGCAAGCGUUGCUCGGAAUCACUGGGCGUAAAGGGCGCGUAGGCGGGAUGGCAAGUCAGUCGUGAAAUCUCUCGGCUCAACCGAGAAACGUCGGCUGAUACUGCCGUUCUUGAGGGAUGCAGAGGAGACUGGAAUUCCCGGUGUAGCGGUGAAAUGUGUAGAGAUCGGGAAGAACAUCAGUGGCGAAGGCGGCCUGCUGGGCUGUUGCUGACGCUGAGGCGCGACAGCGUGGGGAGCAAACAGG